GGAGGCCCUGUCGGUUCUCCCGCAACACUAUCCUGUGGACUCGGUCAGAUCCGGAAGGAAGCAGCCGCAGCAGGAGACGUGUGUGCCGGGAUGUAGCUGGCGGGGCCUCCACCAAUU
This 117-nucleotide signal recognition particle RNA is filed under the name Pectobacterium atrosepticum SCRI1043. The stretch from base 9 to 105 matches the Rfam family "Bacterial small signal recognition particle RNA". Rfam says of the family: The signal recognition particle (SRP) is a universally conserved ribonucleoprotein involved in the co-translational targeting of proteins to membranes. Archaeal SRP consists of a 7S RNA and homologues of the eukaryotic SRP19 and SRP54 proteins. Lineage: Bacteria; Pseudomonadati; Pseudomonadota; Gammaproteobacteria; Enterobacterales; Pectobacteriaceae. The record is from RNAcentral.